UUUGCAAGCAACCCUUUAUUUGUGGCAAUAUACUAACCGAGACAGAUAUCCGGUUGUUCGUCACACUCAUAAGAUUUGAUGAGAUGAUCUGUUCAAUUUUUCUGGGAACCAAACAAGGCUACCCCUUUUACCCCAUACUUUUUACUUUAGUUAUGGAUGUAUCAAGCAAAAUGCCAUGCUAAUCCAGACAGGCUGCAAAGAUUGGCUUUCAGAACAGGUUUGUGUUUCUAAAUAAUCCAUGUUACAAUGAUUUUAUCAACUUUUGCUGAUAACAAAAUGAUCCUAUGCAACUGAGACAUCAUCGAUGCGAUGUAUAGAUCAGUUUUUCUUGCUUAGAGGCAUAUUUGGGGCUUAAAGUCAACCUUGCUGAAGAUGAACUUAUCUCUCUGUGGGACCGCAUGGAUGAUCAGAUUCUGUUACAUGAUAAGGAAAUAUUAUAACCACAAAACUCCCUUUGGGUUCACUUUUACGGUAUUUCCAUGAUUUCAUUUGUGGUACUUUCUUGUUGUAUUGCCUAGUUAUGGCAUAUCUCAUAUGAAGAGACUUCCUGAUUGGGAUAGCAGGUUCACCACCCUCAGACCUUUGAUUAAGUGGUUGUACAGAGUAGUUGUGAUUCAAA
Eucalyptus grandis is the source of this 619-nucleotide long non-coding RNA. RefSeq lists it as uncharacterized. NCBI's taxonomy places the organism in Eukaryota, Viridiplantae, Streptophyta, Magnoliopsida, Myrtales, Myrtaceae. The transcript has 2 exons. The record is from RefSeq and is a predicted model, not a curated record.